GGCACUCUGUGCAUCCCCAGAAGCAAACCCUACACCCUCUCGCCUUCCAGGGCAUCACAGUCCAAGUGCCACAGACCUCUGGGAGCAGUUAUGGGUCUUGAGGAAUGAAAUUCCUCAAAUUCCUGCCUUAAAUUCCUACCUUGGCAGUUAGCCUGAUUGUAGAUUUGGCAGGCAAAUAGUCCUGUUCGUGUUCCCACUCUUUUGAACUAUUAAUGCAGAUUGUAAAGAUUUUUUUUUUCUAUCUUGCUUUAAGAUGCCAAAGUUCAGUUGUAAAAUGAAAGAGCCCAGAAUAGAGAGAAAGACAUUGCUCUGUUGUCAAGCAUAACCUCACCUCUCAAGCAUUUGAAAGCCUGAAGGGCUUGGAGUUAAAAUGAAGAAGGGCGUCUAACAUUCACAGAAACAUAUAUUUCCUCCCUCAUUCUUUUAUUUACUUUGGUAAAAGUAUACAGAAACAAGACAAAUAUGUUGAAACUAAUCAUGUGGAACUGAUUUCUCCAGGAAAAGCUGUGAGAUCACUGCAGGAACCCAAGUAAAGACCAGAUUCUGCCUCUCUGAUGUGCUGAUGGGAUUCUGUGUGACAAGUGAUGAAAUGCAAUGGGACACACAGAAUUGAGCUGCUGUCAAGUCCAUGGUCUGGUUACACAGGGCAGAACAAACACCAGCUGGGACACAAAACGGAACACUCAUCCAAUGACUAACAAAAGCAGAGGGGAGACGAUGUGGAGCUACCAAGGAAAGCACAGGUGAAAAAUCAUGACCUAUGUUUUGUGGCAAGCAGAUGCCAACGCCACCACUGCAAGAUGGAAGCCAUCAGCUUCUGGCCCUUGCCAUUGCACAGUGUGUGAUUGUAUCAACAGCUGGGACACGUGCCGGGGAUGAACGAAGCAAGUUGGAGCCAGAUGAUAACAUUUUUCCACUCUCAGGGAGUGUGUGAUUCUUCUUGAGGAAGAGCCUGUCUGAAACCCCUGGAUUCCAUGGUAGCUCAGCAUAUGACAGACUCAAAUAUAUAGCUGCAGCCCUUAAAGUGUAAUGAGUCCCUACUGUACAGUGAAACAAUUCCAGACAUACAUAUGCGACAUGGGAAGAACCAGGUGCCAAAAAUUUCUCUUCUGUCUGGCCAUAAACUUCAAAAAUAUUCUCUCUAAAAGGUAAAAAUCCAAUGAACUCUAUAACGAAAACUUUUGUUUAUAUACGGUCACAUCCACCAUCUUUAUCUUCAGAAUGUAACCACCCUCAGACAAAAGUUGUGGGGUUUUUAGUUUGGUUUUGUGUUGCUUUGUUUUAAUAAAAAGGGACUUAAAUCCUCCA
RNAcentral lists this long non-coding RNA (1308 nucleotides) under Anser cygnoides (Swan goose). Its description in RNAcentral is "lncRNA (ENSACDG00005002375.1)". Lineage: Eukaryota; Metazoa; Chordata; Aves; Anseriformes; Anatidae. The record is from RNAcentral.